GCCAGCAGAGUUCCCUAGGUCUGGGUGGAGGGGUCAACGUGAACGCCAUUGCUCACUCUGGAGGGAUGGUGAACGCCCCAGCCGUGACUGGCUGCACCAUCAGAGGCCCUGUCACCUUCAACUUUGGAAGAAGGCACACGCCACAGCAAGAAGGGGUGACUAUAAGACCUCAGGAUAAAGCAGAGUUGUGUUCAACGGAGAAAAUAUCUUCCCUCA
This is a long non-coding RNA of Clupea harengus (Atlantic herring), 216 nucleotides long. RefSeq lists it as uncharacterized. The transcript has 3 exons. Lineage: Eukaryota; Metazoa; Chordata; Actinopteri; Clupeiformes; Clupeidae. The record is from RefSeq and is a predicted model, not a curated record.